ACUCAAAGGAAUUGACGGGGACCCGCACAAGCAGCGGAGCAUGUGGUUUAAUUCGAAGCAACGCGAAGAACCUUACCAGGGCUUGACAUCCCCCUGACAGCCCCUUAGCCGGGGCCUCCUUCGGGCAGGGGAGACAGGUGGUGCAUGGUUGUCGUCAGCUCGUGUCGUGAGAUGUUGGGUUAAGUCCCGCAACGAGCGCAACCCUUGUCAUUAGUUGCCAUCAUUAAGUUGGGCACUCUAGUGAGACUGCCGGGGAUAACUCGGAGGAAGGUGGGGACGACGUCAAAUCAUCAUGCCCCUUAUGUCCGGGGCUACACACGUGCUACAAUGGCCGUUACAGCGAGAAGCGAAGCCGCGAGGCGGAGCAAAUCUCCAAAAGCGGCCCCAGUUCGGAUCGCGGGCUGCAACUCGCCCGCGUGAAGCCGGAGUUGCUAGUAAUCGCGGAUCAGCACGCCGCGGUGAAUGCGUUCCCGGGUCUUGUACACACCGCCCGU
This 494-nucleotide ribosomal RNA is filed under the name uncultured bacterium. RNAcentral's name for it is "bacterial SSU rRNA". It matches the Rfam family "Bacterial small subunit ribosomal RNA", at positions 899 to 1397 of the family's 1533-position model. The record is from RNAcentral.